ACAUAUCAAUAAGCGGAGGAAAAGAAACCAACAGGGAUUGCCCUAGUAACGGCGAGUGAAGCGGCAACAGCUCAAAUUUGAAAUCUGGCCCUCGGGUCCGAGUUGUAAUUUGUAGAGGAUGCUUUUGGUGCGGUGCCUUCCGAGUUCCCUGGAACGGGACGCCAUAGAGGGUGAGAGCCCCGUCUGGUUGGACACCAAUCCUCUGUAAAGCUCCUUCGACGAGUCGAGUAGUUUGGGAAUGCUGCUCUAAAUGGGAGGUAUAUGUCUUCUAAAGCUAAAUAUUGGCCAGAGACCGAUAGCGCACAAGUAGAGUGAUCGAAAGAUGAAAAGCACUUUGAAAAGAGAGUUAAACAGUACGUGAAAUUGUUGAAAGGGAAGCGCUUAUGACCAGACUUGGGCUUGGUAGAUCAACCUGGGUUCUCCCUGGUGCACUCUUCCUCGUCCAGGCCAGCAUCAGUUCGCUGCGGGGGAUAAAGGCUUCGGGAAUGUGGCUCCCUCGGGAGUGUUAUAGCCCGUUGCGUAAUACCCUGCGGUGGACUGAGGUUCGCGUUCUGCAAGGAUGCUGGCGUAAUGGUCAUCAGCGACCCGUCUUGAAACACGGACCAAGGAGUCGUCUUCGUAUGCGAGUGUUCGGGUGUUAAACCCCUACGCGUAAUGAAAGUGAACGCAGGUGAGAGCUUCGGCGCAUCAUCGACCGAUCCUGAUGUUCUCGGAUGGAUUUGAGUAAGAGCAUACGGGGCCGGACCCGAAAGAAGGUGAACUAUGCCUGUAUAGGGUGAAGCCAGAGGAAACUCUGGUGGAGGCUCGCAGCGGUUCUGACGUGCAAAUCGAUCGUCAAAUAUGGGCAUGGGGGCGAAAGACUAAUCGAACCUUCUAGUAGCUGGUUUCCGCCGAA
This 895-nucleotide ribosomal RNA is filed under the name Mariannaea elegans var. elegans. Its description in RNAcentral is "LSU rRNA". It matches the Rfam family "Eukaryotic large subunit ribosomal RNA", at positions 38 to 965 of the family's 3401-position model. Lineage: Eukaryota; Fungi; Ascomycota; Sordariomycetes; Hypocreales; Nectriaceae. The record is from RNAcentral.